CCAGACUCCUACGGGAGGCAGCAGUGGGGGAUAUUGCACAAUGGGGGGAACCCUGAUGCAGCGACGCCGCGUGGGUGAAGAAGCGCCUCGGCGCGUAAAGCCCUGUCAGCAGGGAAGAAAAUGACGGUACCUGAAGAAGAAGCCCCGGCUAACUACGUGCCAGCAGCCGCGGUAAUACGUAGGGGGCAAGCGUUAUCUGGAUUUACUGGGUGUAAAGGGGGCGCAGACGGCGAUGCAAGCCAGGAGUGAAAGCCCGGGGCCCAACCCCGGGACUGCUUUUGGAACUGCGCGGCUGGAGUGCAGGAGGGGCAGGCGGAAUUCCUGGUGUAGCGGUGAAAUGCGUAGAUAUCAGGAGGAACUCCGAUUGCGAAGGCAGCUCACUGGACUGCAACUGACACUGAGGCUCGAAAGUGUGGGUAUCAAACAGGAUUAGAUACCCCCGUAAU
This 446-nucleotide ribosomal RNA is filed under the name uncultured bacterium. RNAcentral's name for it is "partial 16S ribosomal RNA". It matches the Rfam family "Bacterial small subunit ribosomal RNA", at positions 331 to 794 of the family's 1533-position model. The record is from RNAcentral.